UUGAUUUUAGAAGCUACUGUUUUAUCAUCAAAUGCUACUGUUGCUCUAGAUGACAUUAGUAUGACCCAGGAAUGUAAAAUUUCUGAUAAAUCACUUCCAGAUACCAGCAUACUAAAGAAAGGAGAAGAGUAUGUUUUGUCCUCUCCACCUCUUAAUUUUGAAGUUGGAUUUGUAUUACGUGAGGAUACAGGCUACAUUUCAUCCAGCAAAUUCUGUGAUUUUUCCAUCUGACAGCCCAAAUGGAACAGAUGAAGCCCGUUGUGUUGAGGUAAAAGUUUCAGUGUAUGGAAAGCUGCGCGUGGCACAGGCGGCCCCCCGUAUUCCCUCCCAGGAGCUCCCGACGCCCCUCUCUCGGUGCCCAUCCGCCUCUCCCCACCGCUGCAGAAGCCCGGACUGGAGCCCGCAGCACCUCCACAGUCCCCUCACCCUGCAGCAAGAGGUGACCCCGGCCGUGGGGCUGAGCUGA
Molecule: long non-coding RNA, 466 nt
Filed under: Canis lupus familiaris (dog)
Lineage: Eukaryota; Metazoa; Chordata; Mammalia; Carnivora; Canidae
Description: lncRNA (ENSCAFG00040006915.1)
Source: RNAcentral